GGAAUCGCUAGUAAUCGCGGAUCAGCAUGCCGCGGUGAAUACGUUCCCGGGCCUUGUACACACCGCCCGUCACACCAUGAGAGUCGGGAACACCCGAAGUCCGUAGCCUAACAGCAAUGGGGCGCGGCCGAAGGUGGGUUCGAUAAUUGGGGUGAAGUCGUAACAAGGUACC
Molecule: ribosomal RNA, 172 nt
Filed under: uncultured bacterium
Lineage: Bacteria
Description: partial 16S ribosomal RNA
Rfam family: Bacterial small subunit ribosomal RNA
Source: RNAcentral